GGAGGGUGCAAGCGUUAAUCGGAAUUACUGGGCGUAAAGCGCACGCAGGCGGUUUGUUAAGUCAGAUGUGAAAUCCCCGGGCUCAACCUGGGAACUGCAUCUGAUACUGGCAAGCUUGAGUCUCGUAGAGGGGGGUAGAAUUCCAGGUGUAGCGGUGAAAUGCGUAGAGAUCUGGGGGAAUACCGGUGGCGAAGGCGGCCCCCUGGACGAAGACUGACGCUCAGGUGCGAAAGCGUGGGGAGCAAACAGGAUUAGAUACCCUGGUAGUCCACGCUGUAAACGAUGAAUACUAGGUGUGCGGGGACUGACCCCCUGCGUGCCGCAGCUAACGCAAUAAGUAUUCCACCUGGGGAGU
This 355-nucleotide ribosomal RNA is filed under the name uncultured bacterium. Its description in RNAcentral is "bacterial SSU rRNA". It matches the Rfam family "Bacterial small subunit ribosomal RNA", at positions 527 to 881 of the family's 1533-position model. The record is from RNAcentral.